GCUUCGGCUAUCACUUUUGGAUGGUCCCGCGGCGUAUUAGCUAGAUGGUGAGGUAACGGCUCACCAUGGCAAUGAUACGUACCCGACCUGAGAGGGUAAUCGGCCACAUUGGGACUGAGACACGGCCCAAACUCCUACGGGAGGCAGCAGUAGGGAAUCUUCCACAAUGGACGAAAGUCUGAUGGAGCAACGCCGCGUGAGUGAAGAAGGGUUUCGGCUCGUAAAACUCUGUUGUUAAAGAAGAACAUAUCUGAGAGUAACUGUUCAGGUAUUGACGGUAUUUAACCAGAAAGCCACGGCUAACUACGUGCCAGCAGCCGCGGUAAUACGUAGGUGGCAAGCGUUGUCCGGAUUUAUUGGGCGUAAAGCGAGCGCAGGCGGUUUUUUAAGUCUGAUGUGAAAGCCUUCGGCUCAACCGAAGAAGUGCAUCGGAAACUGGGAAACUUGAGUGCAGAAGAGGACAGUGGAACUCCAUGUGUAGCGGUGAAAUGCGUAAAUAUAUGGAAGAACACCAGUGGCGAAGGCGGCUGUCUGGUCUGUAACUGACGCUGAGGCUCGAAAGUAUGGGUAGCAAACAGGAUUAGAUACCCUGGUAGUCCAUACCGUAAACGAUGAAUGCUAAGUGUUGGAGGGUUUCCGCCCUUCAGUGCUGCAGCUAACGCAUUAAGCAUUCCGCCUGGAGAGUACGGCCGCAAGGCUGAAACUCAAAGGAAUUGACGGGGGCCCGCACAAGCGGUGGAGCAUGUGGUUUAAUUCGAAGCUACGCGAAGAACCUUACCAGGUCUUGACAUACUAUGCAAAUCUAAGAGAUUAGACGUUCCCUUCGGGGACAUGGAUACAGGUGGUGCAUGGUUGUCCUCAGCUCGUGUCGUGAGAUGUUGGGUUAAGUCCCGCAACGAGCGCCACCCUUAUUAUCAGUUGCCAGCAUUAAGUUGGGCACUCUGGGUAAAACUGCCG
Molecule: ribosomal RNA, 957 nt
Filed under: Lactiplantibacillus plantarum
Lineage: Bacteria; Bacillati; Bacillota; Bacilli; Lactobacillales; Lactobacillaceae
Description: bacterial SSU rRNA
Rfam family: Bacterial small subunit ribosomal RNA
Source: RNAcentral